RNAcentral lists this transfer RNA (87 nucleotides) under Bacteroidota bacterium. RNAcentral describes it as "Bacteroidetes bacterium (sediment metagenome) tRNA-Ser". It matches the Rfam family "tRNA". Rfam says of the family: Transfer RNA (tRNA) molecules are approximately 80 nucleotides in length. Their secondary structure includes four short double-helical elements and three loops (D, anti-codon, and T loops). The record is from RNAcentral. Lineage: Bacteria; Pseudomonadati; Bacteroidota.
GGAGAGGUGCAGGAGUGGCUUAACUGGCACGCCUGGAAAGCGUGUGUACGUGAAAGCGUACCGUGGGUUCGAAUCCCACCCUCUCCG